UACAGAGGUCUCAACCGUUGUUCGGAUUCAUUGGGCGUAAAGGGUGCGUAGGCGGUCGGGUAAGUCGGAUGUGAAAUCUCAGGGCUCAACCCUGAAACUGCAUUCGAUACUGCCUGGCUAGGGUACUGGAGAGGAGACCGGAAUUUACGGUGUAGCAGUGAAAUGCGUAGAUAUCGUAAGGAAGACCAGUGGCGAAGGCGAGUCUCUGGACAGUUACCGACGCUGAGGCACGAAGGCCAGGGGAGCAAACGGG
Molecule: ribosomal RNA, 253 nt
Filed under: uncultured bacterium
Lineage: Bacteria
Description: partial 16S ribosomal RNA
Rfam family: Bacterial small subunit ribosomal RNA
Source: RNAcentral